ACAAACUUGGUCAUUUAGAGGAAGUAAAAGUCGUAACAAGGUUUCCGUAGGUGAACCUGCGGAAGGAUCAUUAUUGAAUUCAUCUGCUGGGUUGAUGCUGGUGUCAAUUGGCACAAGUGCACGCCUGGUCUUUGAUUUUUUCCACCUGUGCACUUUAGUAGGCCGCUCAGAGCCUUGGCUGAUUGUCUGAUCCUCAAUGGUAAUGUCUUUACCAUUGGAUAGGAAGAAUGAGUUGUAAUGGCUCUUCUUCUGAGGCUUUCAGCCAAGCAGAGAGGAUCUACGUUUUUUUAACAAACUACUGUAUGUCGAGAAAGUUCAUUACUGGUUGAAAGACCUUUAAUCUUAACACAACUAUUGACAACGGAUCUCUUGGCUCACGCAUCGAUGAAGAACGCAGC
RNAcentral lists this unclassified non-coding RNA (398 nucleotides) under uncultured fungus. RNAcentral's name for it is "partial contains small subunit ribosomal RNA, internal transcribed spacer 1, and 5.8S ribosomal RNA". The stretch from base 1 to 73 matches the Rfam family "Eukaryotic small subunit ribosomal RNA", at positions 1759 to 1831 of the family's 1831-position model. The record is from RNAcentral. Lineage: Eukaryota; Fungi.